RNAcentral lists this ribosomal RNA (1355 nucleotides) under uncultured bacterium. RNAcentral describes it as "bacterial SSU rRNA". It matches the Rfam family "Bacterial small subunit ribosomal RNA", at positions 28 to 1381 of the family's 1533-position model. The record is from RNAcentral.
AUUGAACGCUGGCGGCAGGCUUAACACAUGCAAGUCGAACGAUGAUUAUCUAGCUUGCUAGAUAUGAUUAGUGGCGGACGGGUGAGUAACAUUUAGGAAUCUGCCUAGUAGUGGGGGAUAGCUCGGGGAAACUCGAAUUAAUACCGCAUACGACCUACGGGUGAAAGGGGGCGCAAGCUCUUGCUAUUAGAUGAGCCUAAAUCAGAUUAGCUAGUUGGUGGGGUAAAGGCCCACCAAGGCGACGAUCUGUAACUGGUCCGAGAGGAUGAUCAGUCACACCGGAACUGAGACACGGUCCGGACUCCUACGGGAGGCAGCAGUGGGGAAUAUUGGACAAUGGGGGCAACCCUGAUCCAGCCAUGCCGCGUGUGUGAAGAAGGCCUUUUGGUUGUAAAGCACUUUAAGCAGGGAGGAGAGGCUAAUGGUUAAUACCCAUUAGAUUAGACGUUACCUGCAGAAUAAGCACCGGCUAACUCUGUGCCAGCAGCCGCGGUAAUACAGAGGGUGCGAGCGUUAAUCGGAAUUACUGGGCGUAAAGCGAGUGUAGGUGGCUCAUUAAGUCACAUGUGAAAUCCCCGGGCUUAACCUGGGAACUGCAUGUGAUACUGGUGGUGCUAGAAUAUGUGAGAGGGAAGUAGAAUUCCAGGUGUAGCGGUGAAAUGCGUAGAGAUCUGGAGGAAUACCGAUGGCGAAGGCAGCUUCCUGGCAUAAUAUUGACACUGAGAUUCGAAAGCGUGGGUAGCAAACAGGAUUAGAUACCCUGGUAGUCCACGCCGUAAACGAUGUCUACUAGCCGUUGGGGUCCUUGAGACUUUAGUGGCGCAGUUAACGCGAUAAGUAGACCGCCUGGGGAGUACGGCCGCAAGGUUAAAACUCAAAUGAAUUGACGGGGGCCCGCACAAGCGGUGGAGCAUGUGGUUUAAUUCGAUGCAACGCGAAGAACCUUACCUGGUCUUGACAUAGUGAGAGUCCUGCAGAGAUGCGGGAGUGCCUUCGGGAAUUCACAUACAGGUGCUGCAUGGCUGUCGUCAGCUCGUGUCGUGAGAUGUUGGGUUAAGUCCCGCAACGAGCGCAACCCUUUUCCUUAUUUGCCAGCGGGUUAAGCCGGGAACUUUAAGGAUACUGCCAGUGACAAACUGGAGGAAGGCGGGGACGACGUCAAGUCAUCAUGGCCCUUACGACCAGGGCUACACACGUGCUACAAUGGUAGGUACAGAGGGUUGCUACACAGCGAUGUGAUGCUAAUCUCAAAAAGCCUAUCGUAGUCCGGAUUGGAGUCUGCAACUCGACUCCAUGAAGUCGGAAUCGCUAGUAGUCGCAGAUCAGAAUGCUGCGGUGAAUACGUUCCCGGGCCU